This 473-nucleotide ribosomal RNA is filed under the name Actinomyces sp. oral taxon 448. Its description in RNAcentral is "bacterial SSU rRNA". It matches the Rfam family "Bacterial small subunit ribosomal RNA", at positions 28 to 481 of the family's 1533-position model. Lineage: Bacteria; Bacillati; Actinomycetota; Actinomycetes; Actinomycetales; Actinomycetaceae. The record is from RNAcentral.
GACGAACGCUGGCGGCGUGCUUAACACAUGCAAGUCGAACGGGCCUGCCUGGCUUUGGUUGGGUGGGUGAGUGGCGAACGGGUGAGUAACACGUGAGUAACCUGCCCUCUUCUCUUGGAUAACUGCUUAAAAGGGCGGCUAAUACGGGAUGUUCUGGCUGCCUCGCAUGGGGUGGUUUGGAAAGAUUCGGCCUGGUUUUGGUUGUUUUGGUGGGGGAUGGGCUCGCGGCUUAUCAGCUUGUUGGUGGGGUGAUGGCCUACCAAGGCGGUGACGGGUAGCCGGCCUGAGAGGGUGGACGGUCACACUGGGACUGAGACACGGCCCAGACUCCUCGGGAGGCAGCAGUGGGGGAUUUUGCACAAUGGGCGCAAGCCUGAUGCAGCGACGCCGCGUGAGGGAUGGAGGCCUUCGGGUUGUGAACCUCUGUCGCCGGUGAUGUAGGCUCUGCUUUGUGGGUGGGGUGACGGCAGCCG